RNAcentral lists this ribosomal RNA (207 nucleotides) under uncultured bacterium. RNAcentral describes it as "partial 16S ribosomal RNA". It matches the Rfam family "Bacterial small subunit ribosomal RNA", at positions 568 to 774 of the family's 1533-position model. The record is from RNAcentral.
CGCGUAGGCUGUGCUGUAAGUCAGGCGUGAAAUCCCCGGGCUCAACCUGGGAAUUGCGUUUGAUACUGCGGCGCUUGAAUGCAGGAGAGGAUGGCGGAAUUCCCAGUGUAGAGGUGAAAUUCGUAGAUAUUGGGAAGAACACCGGCGGCGAAGGCGGCCAUCUGGCCUGUGAUUGACGCUGAGGCGCGAAAGCGUGGGGAGCAAACA